AAUGAACGCUGGCGGCAUGCCUAACACAUGCAAGUCGAACGAGACCUUCGGGUCUAGUGGCGCACGGGUGCGUAACGCGUGGGAACCUGCCUUUAGGUUCGGAAUAACUCAGAGAAAUUUGAGCUAAUACCGGAUGAUGUCUUCGGACCAAAGAUUUAUCGCCUUUAGAUGGGCCCGCGUUGGAUUAGCUAGUUGGUGGGGUAAAGGCCUACCAAGGCGACGAUCCAUAGCUGGUCUGAGAGGAUGAUCAGCCACACUGGGACUGAGACACGGCCCAGACUCCUACGGGAGGCAGCAGUGGGGAAUAUUGGACAAUGGGCGAAAGCCUGAUCCAGCAAUGCCGCGUGAGUGAUGAAGGCCUUAGGGUUGUAAAGCUCUUUUACCCGAGAUGAUAAUGACAGUAUCGGGAGAAUAAGCUCCGGCUAACUCCGUG
This 433-nucleotide ribosomal RNA is filed under the name uncultured bacterium. RNAcentral describes it as "partial 16S ribosomal RNA". It matches the Rfam family "Bacterial small subunit ribosomal RNA", at positions 29 to 507 of the family's 1533-position model. The record is from RNAcentral.